RNAcentral lists this long non-coding RNA (375 nucleotides) under Salvator merianae (Argentine black and white tegu). RNAcentral's name for it is "lncRNA (ENSSMRG00000019769.1)". The record is from RNAcentral. Lineage: Eukaryota; Metazoa; Chordata; Lepidosauria; Squamata; Teiidae.
GGGCCGGGGGUGGGUGGGCUCCAUGUCCCUCCCCACUCCUCCAAUGGAACUCCUCCUCCCCAUCCCCGAUGUCUGCCAGGUUUCCCUUUUUCUCUUCCUCUGGGGAGAAGAAUGAAGAAGAUUCCCCAUCUAUUCCCUUUAGGUUGCCUAUUAACAAGGAAAGAUGUUGGAUCUACCAGAGAUGAAGCCAAGACUGACGUGUUUUGAAUCAAAGGAAGUGAAGACAGUAUAAAGAAAGUUGAUAAUAUAAUAAGAACAUGUUGUCUUCCUUGCAGGGUCCACAAACCAUUAAUCACAUCCUGUUACAAACAAAAAGCAAGGAAAAUUGGAACAGAAGAGAAUAAAAUCAAAAUUCAAUAAGUUUAAAGAAAUUCU